GAACGGGUGAGUAACACGUGGGCAACCUGCCCAAAAGAGGGGGAUAACACUUGGAAACAGGUGCUAAUACCGCAUAACCAUAGUUACCGCACGGUAACUAUGUAAAAGGUGGCUAUGCUACCGCUUUUGGAUGGGCCCGCGGCGCAUUAGCUAGUUGGUGGGGUAAAGGCUUACCAAGGCAAUGAUGCGUAGCCGAACUGGGAGGUUGAUCGGCCACAUUGGGACUGAGACACGGCCCAAACUCCUACGGGAGGCAGCAGUAGGGAAUCUUCCACAAUGGGCGAAAGCCUGAUGGAGCAACGCCGCGUGGGUGAAGAAGGUCUUCGGAUCGUAAAACCCUGUUGUUAGAGAAGAAGGUGCGUGAGAGUAACUGUUCACGUUUCGACGGUAUCUAACCAGAAAGCCACGGUUAACUACGUGCCAGCAGCCGCGGUAAUACGUAGGUGGCAAGCGUUAUCCGGAUUUAUUGGGCGUAAAGGGAACGCAGGCGGUCUUUUAAGUCUGAUGUGAAAGCCUUCGGCUUAACCGAAGUAGUGCAUUGGAAACUGGGAGACUUGAGUGCAGAGGAGGAGAGUGGAACUCCAUGUGUAGCGGUGAAAUG
RNAcentral lists this ribosomal RNA (601 nucleotides) under uncultured bacterium. Its description in RNAcentral is "bacterial SSU rRNA". It matches the Rfam family "Bacterial small subunit ribosomal RNA", at positions 100 to 688 of the family's 1533-position model. The record is from RNAcentral.